This 241-nucleotide unclassified non-coding RNA is filed under the name Hevea brasiliensis (rubber tree). Lineage: Eukaryota; Viridiplantae; Streptophyta; Magnoliopsida; Malpighiales; Euphorbiaceae. The record is from RNAcentral.
GAAACAACAGCAAACUGGACAGAGUUCGGAUGGGUCAUAUAUGUCACCAGCCUAAACUGGACAGAGCUCGGAUGGGUCAUAUUGUCAUCGGACUAUUAAGGAAACGAAUAUGUUGUUGUGUCAGAAAAUGCUCGGAUGGGUCAUAUUGCCAUCGGCCUACUAAGGAAACAAAUAUGUUGUCGGAAAAUGCUCGGAUGGGUCAUAUUGCCAUCGGCCUACUAAGGAAACAAAUAUGUUGUCG